ACUUCGGUGUUGCUGGCGACCGGCGAACGGGUGCGUAACACGUAUGUAAUCUACCUUAUACUAGGGCAUAGCUCUCGGAAACGAGAAUUAAUACCCUAUAUUAUCUCAUUAGCGCAUGCUUAUGAGAUGAAAGCUCCGGCGGUAUAAGAUGAGCAUGCGCCCCAUUAGCUAGUUGGUGAGGUAAAAGCUCACCAAGGCAACGAUGGGUAGGGGUUCUGAGAGGAAGAUCCCCCACACUGGCACUGAGACACGGGCCAGACUCCUACGGGAGGCAGCAGUAGGGAAUAUUGGUCAAUGGGCGCAAGCCUGAACCAGCCAUGCCGCGUGCAGGAUGAAGGCCCUCUGGGUCGUAAACUGCUUUUAUAUGGGAAUAAAAAAGUCCUUGCGAGGACUCUUGAAGGUACCAUAAGAAUAAGCACCGGCUAACUCCGUGCCAGCAGCCGCGGUAAUACGGAGGGUGCAAGCGUUAUCCGGAUUUACUGGGUUUAAAGGGUGCGUAGGCGGCUUCUUAAGUCAGUGGUGAAAUCCUAGUGCUUAACACUAGAACGGCCGCUGAUACUGGGAAGCUUGAGUCAAGGAGAGGUAAGCAGAAUUUAUGGUGUAGCAGUGAAAUGCUUAGAUACCAUAAGGAAUACCAAUAGCGAAGGCAGCUUACUGGCCUUGUACUGACGCUGA
RNAcentral lists this ribosomal RNA (675 nucleotides) under uncultured Bacteroidota bacterium. RNAcentral's name for it is "bacterial SSU rRNA". It matches the Rfam family "Bacterial small subunit ribosomal RNA", at positions 76 to 749 of the family's 1533-position model. Lineage: Bacteria; Pseudomonadati; Bacteroidota. The record is from RNAcentral.